RNAcentral lists this ribosomal RNA (850 nucleotides) under uncultured Chloroflexota bacterium. RNAcentral describes it as "bacterial SSU rRNA". It matches the Rfam family "Bacterial small subunit ribosomal RNA", at positions 512 to 1380 of the family's 1533-position model. The record is from RNAcentral. Lineage: Bacteria; Bacillati; Chloroflexota.
CCGCCGCGGUAAGACGUAGGACGCGAGCGUUAUCCGGAUUUACUGGGCGUAAAGCGCCUGCAGGCGGUCAGGUAAGUCGGUUGUGAAAGCCCCGUGCUCAACGCGGGGAGGCCAAGCGAUACUGCGUGACUUGAGGGCGGAAGAGGGGAGUGGAAUUCCCGGUGUAGCGGUAAAAUGCGCAGAUAUCGGGAGGAACACCAGUGGCGAAGGCGGCUCCCUGGACCGCACCUGACGCUCAGAGGCGAAAGCUAGGGGAGCGAACAGGAUUAGAGACCCUGGUAGUCCUAGCCCUAAACGCUGGAUGCUAGGUGUAGGGCUGAUGAGGCUCUGUGCCGGAGCGAACGCGAUAAGCAUCCCGCCUGGGAACUACGGCCGCAAGGCUAAAACUCAAACGAAUUGACGGGGACCCGCACAAGCAGCGGAGCGUGUGGUUUAAUUCGAUGCUACACGAAGAACCUUACCUGGGUUUGACAUGUUGGUGGUACCGAACCGAAAGGGGAGGGACCCUUCGGGGAGCCAACACAGGUGCUGCAUGGCUGUCGUCAGCUCGUGCCGUGAGGUGUCGGGUUAAGUCCCGUAACGAGCGCAACACUUGCUCUUAGUUAUACGUGUCUAUUUUGACUUCUGGCGUCAAGCCGGAGGCAGGCGGGAGUGACCACAAGUCAGCAUGUCCAGGUUUUCAGGCCUGCACCCACGCUACAAUGCCCGGUACAAGCGACAGCCAAACCGCGAGGUGGAGCGAAUCACAGCAAAGCCGCUCCCAGUUCGGCCCGCUGCCAACCCCCCGCCAUGAAGUGGAGUUGCUAGUAACCGCGCGUCAGCCAUAGUGCGGUGAAUACGUACCCGGGUC